Molecule: ribosomal RNA, 915 nt
Filed under: uncultured archaeon
Lineage: Archaea
Description: bacterial SSU rRNA
Rfam family: Archaeal small subunit ribosomal RNA
Source: RNAcentral
UUUCCGGUUGAUCCUGCCGCCGGACACUGCUAUCAGGUUUCGGCUAAGCCAUGCGAGUCUAGGGAUCGCAAGAUACCGGCAUACUGCUCAGUAACACGCGGAUAAUCUGCCCCCAGGUGAAGAAUACCCUCGGGAAACUGAGGCUAAUACUUCAUAAUCACUAUAUGCUGGAAUGCUUUGGUGAUGAAAGAAUUUCGCCUGAGGAUGAGUCUGCGGCCUAUCAGGUCGUAUGUGGUGUAAUGGACCACAUAGCCUAAGACGGGUACGGGCCUUGAAAGAGGGAGCCCGGAGAUGGACUCUGAGACAUUAGUCCAGGCUCUACGGGGCGCAGCAGGCGCGAAAACUGUGCAAUGCGCGAAAGCGCGACACGGGAAGCCUGAGUGCCUUAACACAGUUAAGGCUUUUUUCAAGCCUAAAAAGCUUGAGGAAUAAGAGCUGGGUAAGACGGGUGCCAGCCGCCGCGGUAACACCCGCAGCUCGAGUGGUGGUCACUUUUAUUGAGCCUAAAGCGUUUGUAGCCGGAUCCGUAAAUCUCCAGGAAAAUUCCUUCGCUCAACGAAGGACCUUCUGGAGAGACUGCGGAUCUAGGGACCGGGUGAGGUUGAAUGUACUUCUGGGGUAGGGGUAAAAUCCAGUAAUCCUGGAAGGACGACCGGUGGCGAAGGCGUUCAACUAGAACGGAUCCGACGGUGAGGAACGAGGGCUAGGGGAGCAAACCGGAUUAGAUACCCGGGUAGUCCUAGCUGUAAACACUGCCCACUUGAUGUUGCAUCUCCGUGUAGGGGGUGCAGUGUCGUAGCGAAGGUGUUAAGUGGGCCGCUUGGGGAGUAUGGUCGCAAGGCUGAAACUUAAAGGAAUUGGCGGGGGAGCACCACAACGGGAGGAGCGUGCGGUUUAAUUGGAUUCAACGCCGGA